GGCGCGCUUAAUGCAUGCAAGUCGAGCGAUGAGGCCCUCUUCGGGGGGUACAUCAGCGGCAGACGGGUGAGUAACACGUAGGUGAUCUACCCCAGAGACGGGGAUAACGGGUGGAAACAUCCGCUAAUACCGGAUAGGCUUGUUCGGUCAAAGGGACAAGGAAAGGCUCCGGCGCUCUGGGAGGAGCCUGCGGCCCAUCAGCUAGUUGGCGGGGUAACGGCCCACCAAGGCAAAGACGGGUAGGGGGUGUGAGAGCAUGGCCCCCCACAAUGGGACUGGAACACGGCCCAUACUCCUACGGGAGGCAGCAGCAGGGAAUAUUGCACAAUGGACGGAAGUCUGAUGCAGCGACGCCGCGUGGAUGAAGAAGGCCCUCGGGUUGUAAAAUCCUUUACAGGGGGAAGAGGAAGGACGGUACCCCUGGAACAAGUGUCGGCUAACUACGUGCCAGCAGCCGCGGUAAGACGUAGGACACAAGCGUUAUCCGGAUUUACUGGGCGUAAAGCGUCUGCAGGCGGACAGGUAAGUUGGGCGUGAAAGCUCCGGGCCCAACCCGGAGAGGUCGUUCAAUACUGCGUGUCUAGAGGGUGUCAGAGGGGAGUGGAAUUUCCGGAGUAGCGGUAAAAUGCGCAGAGAUCGGAAAGAACACCAAUGGCGAAGGCAGCUCCCUGGGGCAACCCUGACGCUAAGAGACGANAGCUAGGGGAGCGAACCAGGAUUAGAGACCCUGGUAGUC
RNAcentral lists this ribosomal RNA (736 nucleotides) under uncultured organism. RNAcentral's name for it is "bacterial SSU rRNA". It matches the Rfam family "Bacterial small subunit ribosomal RNA", at positions 41 to 795 of the family's 1533-position model. The record is from RNAcentral.